CAACGCACUCGUGGAACUCAAUCUCGACAAAAACAUCACCAUCACAGCGGCGCACUAGCUUGCCGUGCUCGAGACGUCGUAUCCGCCAUUGGCCGGAGCUUUCUGGCGAGAUCUGAGAGGAUUCAUCACUCCGAUUUUGGAUUUCCAGCCAAAUGCGCCGGAGAAGACGACGGGACGGCGCAGGAGAAGAGGCCAGGAGUCGCCAGAGAAGAGGGGGUGAGUUUGGGCGGUGGAAAUUUGGGUCAGUCGUGGCUGGGGAGAGAAGCUCAUGUGUCCCCGCUGGUCUUACUCCUGAGUUCAAUCGGGUUCUUGGCCUAACGGCUCAUGAGGCGAUGGCGGCGGUUGGUGGUUCUGGUGGGACCUUCUGGCUGGCUGGUGGUGGGGCGGUGUUGCGGCGGUGGGCAGCGACUGUGGGGCUUGGACUGAUUUGGUGGGCGGCGGCAGUGGUGUGUUUAGGGUUUGUUGUAGGUUUUUUGGGCUUUACUAGUUGGGCUUGUCCCAUGUUAUUUGGGCUUUUAGGCCUCUUGGGUGUUUGGACUGCGUCCCACUUGUUUUAACUGUUUUAUCCGGGCUUUUAGGCCUUUGGGUGUUGGGACUUUGUUCCCUUUGGAUGUUGCUUUGGUUGGUAUCUUGCCAAUCAAGGGUUUGGAUCUCGGAUUGGACUUUUCGUUCUCUCCUUGUCCUAUUAAUCUUUGUAUCUCCUUCAAAGGUUAAUAAAAAAAUUUCGCCGUUCAAAA
Long non-coding RNA from Rhododendron vialii, 737 nucleotides. RefSeq lists it as uncharacterized. The transcript is spliced from 2 exons. Lineage: Eukaryota; Viridiplantae; Streptophyta; Magnoliopsida; Ericales; Ericaceae. The record is from RefSeq and is a predicted model, not a curated record.